CCAGACUCCUACGGGAGGCAGCAGUGGGGAAUUUUGGACAAUGGGCGCAAGCCUGAUCCAGCCAUGCCGCGUGAGUGAAGAAGGCCUUCGGGUUGUAAAGCUCUUUCAGCCGGGAAGAAAACGCAUGGGUUAAUACCCUGUGUGGAUGACGGUACCGGAAUAAGAAGCACCGGCUAACUACGUGCCAGCAGCCGCGGUAAUACGUAGGGUGCGAGCGUUAAUCGGAAUUACUGGGCGUAAAGCGUGCGCAGGCGGUUUGUUAAGAUAGGCGUGAAAUCCCCGGGCUCAACCUGGGAACUGCGUUUAUGACUGGCAGGCUAGAGUAUGGCAGAGGGGGGUGGAAUUCCACGUGUAGCAGUGAAAUGCGUAGAGAUGUGGAGGAACACCGAUGGCGAAGGCAG
RNAcentral lists this ribosomal RNA (401 nucleotides) under uncultured bacterium. RNAcentral's name for it is "bacterial SSU rRNA". It matches the Rfam family "Bacterial small subunit ribosomal RNA", at positions 331 to 724 of the family's 1533-position model. The record is from RNAcentral.